GACCGCGUAGCUCAGUUGGUAGAGUAUUGAACUAGUAUCCCAAAGGUCGUGGGUUCGAUUCCGACCGUGGUCA
RNAcentral lists this transfer RNA (73 nucleotides) under Paramuricea clavata. It matches the Rfam family "tRNA". Rfam says of the family: Transfer RNA (tRNA) molecules are approximately 80 nucleotides in length. Their secondary structure includes four short double-helical elements and three loops (D, anti-codon, and T loops). Lineage: Eukaryota; Metazoa; Cnidaria; Anthozoa; Malacalcyonacea; Plexauridae. The record is from Rfam by way of RNAcentral.